AAACCGUUACCAUUACUGAG
This 20-nucleotide non-coding RNA is filed under the name Haplochromis burtoni (Burton's mouthbrooder). Its record names the gene abu-miR-451. RNAcentral also lists the same sequence under 1 other name. Lineage: Eukaryota; Metazoa; Chordata; Actinopteri; Cichliformes; Cichlidae. The record is from miRBase by way of RNAcentral.